GAGUCAGUGGUUCAAACGGCGGAACAGCAGCCUCCAACACUGUCUAUCGGGGUUCGAUGCUCCGCUGACUCGCCA
RNAcentral lists this transfer RNA (75 nucleotides) under Gammaproteobacteria bacterium. RNAcentral describes it as "tRNA-Trp". It matches the Rfam family "tRNA". Rfam says of the family: Transfer RNA (tRNA) molecules are approximately 80 nucleotides in length. Their secondary structure includes four short double-helical elements and three loops (D, anti-codon, and T loops). The record is from RNAcentral. Lineage: Bacteria; Pseudomonadati; Pseudomonadota; Gammaproteobacteria.